RNAcentral lists this transfer RNA (119 nucleotides) under Paenibacillus sinensis. RNAcentral's name for it is "Paenibacillus sp. HN-1 tRNA-OTHER". RNAcentral also lists the same sequence under 1 other name. Lineage: Bacteria; Bacillati; Bacillota; Bacilli; Caryophanales; Paenibacillaceae. The record is from RNAcentral.
AGGAAUGUAACUCAGUUGGGAGAGUAAGUCAGCGAAUCCCCGGUUCGAUUCCGGGCCUAUCGAGGAUUGGAAAGUUGGUUCCAGCGGGCUGUGCGUGAGUUCGAUCCUCACCAUUCCUA